Molecule: transfer RNA, 75 nt
Filed under: Akkermansiaceae bacterium
Lineage: Bacteria; Pseudomonadati; Verrucomicrobiota; Verrucomicrobiia; Verrucomicrobiales; Akkermansiaceae
Description: tRNA-Val
Rfam family: tRNA
About the family: Transfer RNA (tRNA) molecules are approximately 80 nucleotides in length. Their secondary structure includes four short double-helical elements and three loops (D, anti-codon, and T loops).
Source: RNAcentral
GCGCGAUUAGCUCAGGGGUAAAGCACAUGCUUCACACGCAUGGGGUCGCUGGUUCAAAUCCAGCAUCGCGCACCA